Molecule: ribosomal RNA, 550 nt
Filed under: fungal sp.
Lineage: Eukaryota; Fungi
Description: eukaryotic LSU rRNA
Rfam family: 5.8S ribosomal RNA (bases 190-343)
Source: RNAcentral
UCGUAACAAGGUCUCCGUAGGUGAACCUGCGGAGGGAUCAUUACUGAGUGAGGGCCUUCGGGCUCGACCUCCAACCCUUUGUGAACACAACUUGUUGCUUCGGGGGCGACCCUGCCGUUUCGACGGCGAGCGCCCCCGGAGGCCUUCAAACACUGCAUCUUUGCGUCGGAGUUUAAGUAAAUUAAACAAAACUUUCAACAACGGAUCUCUUGGUUCUGGCAUCGAUGAAGAACGCAGCGAAAUGCGAUAAGUAAUGUGAAUUGCAGAAUUCAGUGAAUCAUCGAAUCUUUGAACGCACAUUGCGCCCCUUGGUAUUCCGAGGGGCAUGCCUGUUCGAGCGUCAUUUCACCACUCAAGCCUCGCUUGGUAUUGGGCGCCGCGGUGUUCCGCGCGCCUCAAAGUCUCCGGCUGAGCUGUCCGUCUCUAAGCGUUGUGAUUUCAUUAAUCGCUUCGGAGCGCGGGCGGUCGCGGCCGUUAAAUCUUUCAUAAGGUUGACCUCGGAUCAGGUAGGGAUACCCGCUGAACUUAAGCAUAUCAAUAAGCGGAGGAA